AAAAAUCGCUCGAAAGGACAACGGAAAAGCCGACGCAUUAUCCAGGCUUGUGUUCAUGGGGAUAGACGGCCUUGACAGAACGGUUCACAUUAAAAUCAUCACAGAACCCAGCAUCAGUCAAAUCCUCGACAUCAUGGACAUUGACAACGAACCAUCCUGGAUGGACCCAAUCAUAGAAUUCAUCACAAAUGGAAAUCUACCAGGCGAUGCCAGGUUGGCCAGAAGCAUCAGAGCCCGAGCUCCUAGGUACUGCAUGAUCAGCGGUGUCCUCUUUCGCAGAAGUAUUACUCUUCC
Molecule: long non-coding RNA, 294 nt
Filed under: Olea europaea subsp. europaea
Lineage: Eukaryota; Viridiplantae; Streptophyta; Magnoliopsida; Lamiales; Oleaceae
Source: RNAcentral